Molecule: long non-coding RNA, 2641 nt
Filed under: Helianthus annuus (common sunflower)
Lineage: Eukaryota; Viridiplantae; Streptophyta; Magnoliopsida; Asterales; Asteraceae
Description: hypothetical non coding rna
Source: RNAcentral
GUGUGUGUAUCUAUCUGGAGAUCGAUCAGGACAGGGAGGAACAAAGGGUUUAACCCUAAUUGCUAAUUCAGCCAAAUUAGGAGGAAAUCUCAAAGCUAAUUCAUUGCAUGAACUCAAGUUUCGAUCAUCUAAGCUAAUAUAGCUGAAUGGCGUGAAGGAAGAGGGUUCAAGUACUAAGAAAUCGGAAGGCUCACAGGAUCGAGGAUGAAAUCUUGUCAAUUGACUCAAGCAUGGAUGGCAAACAUGGUAAGAGGAAGCGAUGAAGCAAGCAUGAACAUGGACGCUAAAGUUUGGAAAGCAUUAACCGUCGCAAAGUAUGAAUAACGAGUCAAAAGAUUUGACCCGCGCCAGGUACGUAUAAAAAGAUUAUAUUUUCAAUAAGAGCUUAGGGCUCGAUUAGAGACUGACGUGUCAGAACAAGAUAACUGAUACCCAUAUGUAAGAAUGUAUUUACAAUUAGACUUCCGAAAAGUCAAACGAAGUAAAUGAAGUCCUUGCAAUAAUGCAAGUAUAAGGUACGAACGUGUACCCCGAUGCGACCACAAUAAGUAAGGGGGAUGUUAGUCCGACCUUAAAAAGGUCAAACUGCAAAAGUCGACGAAAUAACCAAUAAAAUGAAAUGAUAGUAUGUAAGGAAUGGAAUGUAUGAUAUGUUUUAACAUGUACAUAAGAAAAUUGUGAAAGAGACAAUCGGCGACCAAACACCCUGUGGGACGCAAAUAUGAAAGGUUAUGUGCUAACUAUUAUUUAUAGAUAAAUAUGAUGAAAUUCUUAGCGAGAUGAUAGUAAUGAAGCUAGUGGAAGGAUGCUCACGAGUGGGAGCAUAUUUCAUGAAUGAAUGAGACCAAUCUGGUAUGGAAGGUACAUAUAAAGAAGCGGAUCGAUCCGGCACACGGAUAACUGACUUAUGCAUUGAAGGCGAGGCGUGAAGGAAGAGGGUUCAAGUACUAAGAAAUCGGAAGGCUCACAGGAUCGAGGUAAAUACUCAAUUUAGGCGACUUGGAGAAUUGGAGCGAGCACAUGUUCAUGAUAUGUCAUACCAAACGCUUCCGCUAGUUGCACUUAUGUUUUGGGUCAAAUUUCCAUUUUGUACAACUUGUUAGUAGUCGUAUAUUUUAAAACUUGUUGCCUUUGUUUUCGGUAGUAUUAUGUCAAACGGAUCAUAAGAUGUUAAUUAGUUUGAUUAUGUUCAAAACAGGGGCAUGCUCGUUUUUGGACGGGUCAUGCCCAAAUUUUGUAAAAAUUAUGCAUCAAGUUGGUACUUUUGAUGUCUUUAAGUUACUCUUGUAAGACAUUCUAUAAUUACGCAAAAAGGGACAUUACAAGUGGACCUCUUCUGAAUCCAUCUAAUUUUUCUAACAUGGCGGUGAAAAUAAGUUAUCGAUCACAUGGGCAUUUAUACAACACAAGAAAAAUAAUUUUGGACGUAGCUUAUCGAAUAAUAAACUUGGAUCCACAAAUCCAAUUUGGGUCUAGUCAAAUAAACGUUCAUGAACAUGAAGUGCAAGUGAACAUGAGAUGGUCCAGUGCUCCAUUCGACCCAGGUGGAACAAUUAUAGCCCAACUCUAGCAUUCGAUGAUGCAGUUGAUUUCUUAGGUAUGUUUGUUACAAUGCAGUAUUAUACUCAUGGUUGCAAAAGUCGCUAAAUUGUUUAUUGUUAAAAUGAUUUCUUAAAUUUGUUACUUGGUUUUUUUCUUUUCUUAACGGCAUAACUGUUUGAGUAAUUUUUAAUGACUUUGGUAUGUUUUAUAGAUUUGUUAUAUUAACUAGGUCAACAAUUCCCAUCAUUGAUAAGAGCAAGGAAGAAGCAAAUGACACGUAAUUUUUUCUUUCUUUUUUUUUUUCAAUUGCUUGGGUCUGUUCUUCCCAAAUUGAGAAAUUUUCUUAUUAUAUUCUUAGAUUUGUUAUAUUAACUAGGCCAACAAUUCCCAUCAUUGAUGAGAGCUAGGAAGAAGCAAAUGACACGUAAUUUUUUUUUUCAAUUGCUAGGGCCUGUUCCUCCCAAAUUGAGAAAUUUUCUAAUUAUAUUCUAAGAGAUUUGAUAUAAUAAGUGACAUUUCAAUUUCAGGACAUGGAUUCAUGUUUAUCAUCUUAUUUUUGAGACAAGUCAUCGAUUUAAUGCAGAUAGUGUCUUCUUCUCGAAGUGGCAUUUCGUCGAACAACUUCAGGUAUAUGUUAGAAUGACACUCAAAUUGGUCAAAAACAACUAUUGAACCUUCGAGACUGAUAGAUUUCUAAGUGAUGGCUUUCCAAGAUGUUAGAGCACAUUUUUUUGCAGAUAUGGAAUCUGAGAUCUCAAGUGAAGUUUACCAUUCUCUGCGCUUGCGCAAGAGCUCUAAGCCACCUAUUAGUUGAAAAGGCAAAUUUGUUGUGUAGAUCUUGUUGGUUCUGUGCGUGUUCACAAGUCAGGUGUAAAGAUGGAAGCCACAACGAUAUAAUGCGUAGAGAGCAUGCGGGUGUUCAUGAAACAUUCCACACAUAUUCGCUUUUGUACAUUGUUUCUUGGUGUCUUAUUUGAGCCGACUAUCUGUGUUUUUUAUGUUUUAGUAAUCAACAAUUCACUUAGAGACUUCAUGCAAUCUAAGUUGUUGAAAUUGUAUCCAACCUUUCUUUUUUAUUUUAGGCAUAUUUUACAUGUUG